Molecule: ribosomal RNA, 2754 nt
Filed under: Triticum aestivum (bread wheat)
Lineage: Eukaryota; Viridiplantae; Streptophyta; Magnoliopsida; Poales; Poaceae
Description: partial small subunit ribosomal RNA
Source: RNAcentral
AUGGACGCCAUCUUCCUCGCAUCCGCGGCGGCGACAUGGGCGCUCAACAAGCUCCUCGACCACCUCAAAGACUCCGCCAUCAAGGCGCUGCUACGGUCGGAAGGGCUCGACAGGGAGGUCGGCCCCAUAGAGGUCACGCUGAUGCGCGCCAACCUCGUCCUCGGCUCCGUGCCCACCGGGUCGGCCGCCUCCGGGGUGAGGAUCAGGAACAAGGAGCUCAUAAAUCACGUCAACAAAGUUCACCAGCAUGCGUCUUUCUUGGCCAAUGAGCUCGACAAGGUCAAGUACCAGUGCAUCAAGCAAGAGGUAAAAAAGAAGAACCUGGAGAAUGCAAGCAUUUUCAAAUCCAAAAUGAAAUCUAUCACUCAAGUUGGAACAUCGGAGCAAAAAAUCAGUGGAUAUGACAUAAGACUGAUAAAAAAGACUGCUGAUGAACUGGAGAAGAUUUGCAACGAUGUUCAUGAAGCUCUCGUGGUAGAGAAGCUUGGUCAGAUUGUUGAAGCAACAAAAAACAUGGAUAUAGAUACACGUGAGACGGUAGACAGCAAAACUGAAACUGAGGUGGUCCCAAGAGAAGAGGAAAAUGAUAUUAGACAACUAAUAACUGCAAGUGCAUCACCUCAUCAACAGCUAUUAGUUCUUCCAAUAGUCGGCGAUGGUGGUGUUGGGAAGACAACACUUGCUCGACAAGUGUACAAUGACCAACGUGUGAAAGAUAAGUUUGAAAUGAUGAUAUGGAUUUAUGUAUCCGCUAAUUUUGAUGAAGUCAAAGUUACACAAGGGAUUCUGCAACAAAUACCUAAGUGCGAGUAUAAACCAAGUACAAACCUUAACGUGCUUCAGGGCAGCAUCAAGAAACACUUGACUGGAAAAUUUCUAAUUGUUUUGGAUGACAUGUGGGAAGAGAGCCAGGGCCGCUGGGAAAAGCUUUUGGCUCCACUUAGAUGUACGGAAAAAGGGGGUGUGGUUCUGGUGACAACUAGAAAGCUAUCUGUUGCCAACGCGACGGGCAGAUCCAAUGCACCUAUCAACUUGGAUGGCAUGAAGGCAGAUAUGUUCUGGUCCUUCUUCCAAACAUGCAUAUUUGGUCAUACGGAUUAUCGAGGCAAAAAGCUUCUGAAAAUUGGAAAGGAAAUAGCUACCAAGCUGAAAGGAAAUCCUUUAGCAGCUAAAAGUGUCGGUGCACUUUUGGGAAAAAAAACCAAUGAGCAUGCCUGGAGAAAUAUAUUAGAUAGAGAUGAGUGGAAGAUUCAAAAUGAGACGGAUGACAUCAUACCAGCACUAAGGCUCAGUUACAAUCACCUGCCCGACCGUCUUCAGCAAUUAUUCUCAUAUUGUGCUUUGUUUCCUAAGGGUUACAAAUUUGACAAGGAACAGUUGAUACGUAUGUGGAUUGCUCUUGGCUUUGUCACACAUGAGAGGAUACCAUUGGGAGAUGCAGCAAGUUACAGUUUUGAUGAAUUGGUAUAUGGGAGCUUCUUCCAGAAAGAGGAACGGUACUUUAUUUUGCAUGAUUUAAUGCAUGAUGUAGCACAAGAAGUAUCAGCGUUUCAGUGCCUUACUAUUGCUGGCCCAGAUCCUCAGGAAGCCUCCCAAUCUGUACACCUCAUUCGUCAUGUCGGCAUCUGGACUGAGAUGGUGUACAAUGAAGGAAACAUGGAACGUAAUGAAACCUUUGAAGAAAAGUUAGACAAGAUACAGGACGGAGAUAUUCUGAAAUCUUUGGAGAGUUUCAUGCUUGUAGGCACAUAUGAUGAGAAUUUCUCUGCAAAGUUUGCGAAGACCCUGGAAAAAUUACAGUAUGUUCGUUUACUUCGGUUGUCAAUGCAUUUCAAUAUCGAUGCUUUGCUAUCCAGUGUCACAAAGUUCAUCCAUCUUCGGUAUUUAGAACUCAGGUAUACAUCUCAGGAGCGCAAACCUUUACCUGAGGCUAUAUGCAAGCUCUACCACCUACUGCUACUGGAUAUCAUGCACUGGAGUGGUUUAGAUGACUUGCCAAAGGCUAUGAGCAAUCUGGUGUGCUUACGCUAUCUCCUCGUUCCGGGGUCAGGGUCAUUGCACUCAAGGAUAUCAAGAGUUGGACAAAUGAAGUUUCUGCAAGAGCUCAGUGAAUUUCGGGUGCAAGAAGAGAAAGGCUUUGAGAUUGCGCAGCUGGGAUCUUUAAGUGAGAUCAGAGGGUCACUUAGUAUCCUUGAUCUUGACAAUGUCAAAACAAAGCAAAAGGCUUCUGAGGCAAGGAUUAAAGAUAAAAAACAUCUGAGGACACUUUCACUUUCAUGGGGUAGUGCAAGUGCAAGAGAAAGUGCCGCUGUCCAGAAGGAAGUAAUUGAGGGUCUUAAACCACAUGAUCGUCUUGCACAUCUUCAUAUCAUAAAUUAUGCAGGUGCUUCUCCAUCGUGGAUCGCAAUGAAGGGAUUAGAAAGCCUCCAUCUCCAUAACUGUAUGGGCAUAGAUGUCCUGCCACCAUUUGAGGAGAUGGAAUGCCUGCAGAAACUGUCCUUGAUUGGCAUGUCCUCUCUGAGGGAUGUCGACAUUGACAUGGGGCUUGAGGAUGACGAGCUCGAGCUAAGCGAAGUUGAAAUAGCAAGUUGUUCAGCCUUAACAUCCAUAAGGCUUCAUUUUGGCAAGAUAUUGACUAAGUUUGAUGUUAAAGAUUGUGUGGCACUAUCUUCCAUAGAAGGUUUGCCAUCCUCUGGUCAACGGAAGCACUACGUGAUCCAAGGAUGCCCUCAGCUUCCUGCUGAUACUGUCUAA